This 469-nucleotide ribosomal RNA is filed under the name uncultured bacterium. RNAcentral describes it as "bacterial SSU rRNA". It matches the Rfam family "Bacterial small subunit ribosomal RNA", at positions 45 to 507 of the family's 1533-position model. The record is from RNAcentral.
GGCCUAACACAUGCAAGUCGAGGCGGUAGAGAGGUGCUUGCAUCUCUUGAGAGCGGCGGACGGGUGAGUAAUGCCUAGGAAUCUGCCUAGUGGUGGGGGAUAACGUUCGGAAACGGACGCUAAUACCGCAUACGUCCUACGGGAGAAAGCGGGGGGUCUUCGGACCUCGCGCCAUUAGAUGAGCCUAGGUCGGAUUAGCUAGUUGGUGAGGUAAUGGCUCACCAAGGCGACGAUCCGUAACUGGUCUGAGAGGAUGAUCAGUCACACUGGAACUGAGACACGGUCCAGACUCCUACGGGAGGCAGCAGUGGGGAAUAUUGGACAAUGGGCGAAAGCCUGAUCCAGCCAUGCCGCGUGUGUGAAGAAGGUCUUCGGAUUGUAAAGCACUUUAAGUUGGGAGGAAGGGCCAGUAAGUUAAUACCUUGCUGUUUUGACGUUACCAACAGAAUAAGCACCGGCUAACUUCGUG